CGGGUAAUGCCGGGCACUCUGGAAGGACUGCCAUCGACAAGAUGGAGGAAGGUGGGGAGUGACGUCAAGUCAUCAUGGCCCUUAUGUCCAGGGCGACACACGUGCUACAAUGGCCGGCACAACGGGAAGCGAGUUCGCGAGGACGAGCGGAUCCCUCAAAGCCGGUCGCAGUUCGGAUUGAAGUCUGCAACUCGACUUCAUGAAGCUGGAAUCGCUAGUAAUCGUGGAUCAGCCAAGCCGCGGUGAAUACGUUCCCGGGCCUU
RNAcentral lists this ribosomal RNA (263 nucleotides) under uncultured Synergistaceae bacterium. RNAcentral's name for it is "partial 16S ribosomal RNA". It matches the Rfam family "Bacterial small subunit ribosomal RNA", at positions 1122 to 1382 of the family's 1533-position model. The record is from RNAcentral. Lineage: Bacteria; Thermotogati; Synergistota; Synergistia; Synergistales; Synergistaceae.